Oncorhynchus tshawytscha (Chinook salmon) is the source of this 2730-nucleotide long non-coding RNA. Lineage: Eukaryota; Metazoa; Chordata; Actinopteri; Salmoniformes; Salmonidae. The record is from Ensembl.
UGGAAUUGUUAGUUAGAUUACUUGCUCGUUAUUACUGCAUUGUCGGAACUAGAAGCACAAGCAUUUCGCUACACUCGCAUUAACAUCUGCUAACCAUGUGUAUGUGACAAAUAAAAUUUGAUUUGAUUUGAUUUGAUUUGAUUAGGAGGGUAGGGGUUAAGGAAGGGGACUAGUUUGAGGAAGGGGACUAGUUUGUAGGAGGGUAGGGGUUAAGGAAGGGGACUAGUUUGUAGGAGGGUAGGGGUUAAGGAAGGGGACUAGUUUGUAGGAGGGUAGGGGUUAAGGAAGGGGACUAGUUUGUAGGAGGGUAGGGGUUAAGGAAGGGGACUAGUUUGUAGGAGGGUAGGGGUUAAGGAAGGGGACUAGUUUGUAGGAGGGUAGGGGUUAAGGAAGGGGACUAGUUUGUGGGAGGGUAGGGGUUAAGGAAGGGGACUAGUUUGAGGAAGGGGACUAGUUUGAGGAAGGGGACUAGUUUGAGGAAGGGGACUAGUUUGUGGGAGGGUAGGGGUUAAGGAAGGGGACUAGUUUGAGGAAGGGGACUAGUUUGAGGAAGGGGACUAGUUUGAGGAAGGGGACUAGUUUGUAGGAGGGUAGGGUUAAGGAAGGGGAAUAGUUUGUGGGAGGGUAGGGGUUAAGGAAGGGGACUAGUGUGUAGGAGGGUAGGGGUUAAGGAAGGGGACUAGUUUGUAGGAGGGUAGGGGUUAAGGAAGGGGACUAGUUUGUGGGAGGGUAGGGGUUAAGGAAGGGGACUAGUUUGAGGAAGGGAACUAGUUUGAGGAAGGGGACUAGUUUGAGGAAGGGGACUAGUUUGUAGGAGGGUAGGGGUUAAGGAAGGGGACUAGUUUGUGGGAGGGUAGGGGUUAAGGAAGGGGACUAGUUUGUAGGAGGGUAGGGGGUUAAGGAAGGGGACUAGUUUGUGGGAGGGUAGGGGUUAAGGAAGGGGACUAGUUUGUAGGAGGGUAGGGGUUAAGGAAGGGGACUAGUGUGUAGGAGGGUAGGGGUUAAGGAAGGGGACUAGUGUGUAGUAGGGUAGGGGUUAAGGAAGGGGACUAGUCUGUGGGAGGGUAGGGGUUAAGGAAGGGGACUAGUUUGUAGGAGAGUAGGGAGUAGGGAAGGGGACUAGUUUGUAGGAGAGGAAGGGGACUAGUGUGUAGUAGGGCAGGGGUUAAGGAAGGGGACUAGUUUGUGGGAGGGUAGGGGUUAAGGAAGGGGACUAGUUUGUGGGAGGGUAGGGGUUAAGGAAGGGGACUAGUUUGUUGUAGGGUAGGGGUUAAGGAAGGGGACUAGUUUGUAGUAGGGUAUGGGUUAAGGAAGGGGACUAGUUUGUAGUAGGGUAGAGGGUUAAGGAAGGGGACUAGUUUGUUGUAGGGUAGGGUAGGGGUUAAGGAAGGGGACUAGUUUGUUGUAGGGGUUAAGGAAGGGGACUAGUUUGUAGUAGGGUAGGGGUUAAGGAAGGGGACUAGUUUGUGGGAGGGUAGGGGUUAAGGAAGGGGACUAGUUUGUUGUAGGGGUUAAGGAAGGGGACUAGUUUGUGGGAGGGUAGGGGUUAAGGAAGGGGACUAGUUUGUUGUAGGGUAGGGGGUUAAGGAAGGGGACUAGUUUGUAGUAGGGUAGGGGUUAAGGAAGGGGACUAGUUUGUGGGAGGGUAGGGGUUAAGGAAGGGGACUAGUUUGUGGGAGGUUAGGGGUUAAGGAAGGGGACUAGUUUGUAGUAGGGUAGGGGUUAAGGAAGGGGACUAGUCUGCAGGAGGGUAGGGGUUAAGGAAGGGGACUAGUUUGUAGGGGUUAGGGAAGUGGACUAGUGUGUAGGAGGGCAGGGGUUAAGGAAGGGGACUAGUUUGUGGGAGGUUAGGGGUUAAGGAAGGGGACUAGUUUGUGGGAGGGUAGGGGUUAAGGAAGGGGACUAGUUUGUAGUAGGGUAGGGGUUAAGGAAGGGGACUAGUCUGCAGGAGGGUAGCGGUUAAGGAAGGGGACUAGUUUGUAGGGGUUAGGGAAGUGGACUAGUGUGUAGGAGGGUAUGGGACCCGGCUAGCACCUGAGUGGAAUAUAAAGACAGUACGGUCAACUCUUUACAUGUGCUCCUCUGAUCCUACUGAUGGACUUCCAGACUCAGUAUCCCAGAAGCACUACUGCUGCUCACCACGAUUGAGGAGCUGUCCUGUAGUUUAUGAAGGCAGUAGGGUAGAGUUGCACCCUUUCCCUUUGUCUAAUGUUUUUACAGGUUGAAAUGUCUCGCUUUGGCCAAACUCUGCUUCUCUCAGUCUCUGGCUAGCUAGCCAGGCUACUGUUUCUGUAUAGGACCAGGCUAGGAGAGUUAGCAUGACUACUGUCUCUGUAUAGGACCAGGCUAGGAGAGUUAGCAUGACUACUGUCUCUGUAUAGGACCAGGCUAGGAGAGUUAGCAUGACUACUGUCUCUGUAUAGGACCAGGCUAGGAGAGUUAGCAUGACUACUGUUUCUGUAUAGGACCAGGCUAGGAGAGUUAGCAUGACUACUGUUUCUGUAUAGGACCAGGCUAGGAGAGUUAGCAUGACUACUGUUUCUGUAUAGGACCAGGCUAGGAGAGUUAGCAUGACUACUGUCUCUGUAUAGGACCAGGCUAGGAGAGUUAGCAUGACUACUGUUUCUGUAUAGGACCAGGCUAGGAGAGUUAGCAUGACUACUGUUUCUGUAUAGGACCAGGCUAGGAGAGUUAGCAUGACUACUGUUUCUGUAUAGGACCAGGCUAGGA